Molecule: small nuclear RNA, 106 nt
Organism: Peromyscus maniculatus bairdii (prairie deer mouse)
Lineage: Eukaryota; Metazoa; Chordata; Mammalia; Rodentia; Cricetidae
Source: Ensembl
AUGCUCACUUCAGCAGCACAUGUACUAAAAUGGGAUCGGCACAGAGAGCUUAGAAUGGCCCCUGAGCAAGAAUGACAUGCAAAUUUGUGAAGCACUCCAUAUUUUU